This 346-nucleotide ribosomal RNA is filed under the name uncultured bacterium. RNAcentral describes it as "partial 16S ribosomal RNA". It matches the Rfam family "Bacterial small subunit ribosomal RNA", at positions 338 to 701 of the family's 1533-position model. The record is from RNAcentral.
CCUACGGGCGGCAGCAGUGGGGAAUAUUGCACAAUGGGGGAAACCCUGAUGCAGCGACGCCGCGUGAGUGAAGAAGGAAUUCGUGAUGUAAAGCUCUAACAGCAGGGAAGAAAAGGACGGUACCUGAGUAAGAAGCCCCGGCUAACUACGUGCCAGCAUCCGCGGUAAUACGUAGGGGGCAAGCGUUAUCCGGAUUUACUGGGUGUAAAGGGAGCGUAGACGGCAGGGCAAGUCUGGAGUGAAAGGCGGGGGCUCAACCCCCGGACUGCUCUGGAAACUGUACGGCUGGAGUGCAGGAGAGGUCAGUGGAAUUCCUUGUGUAGCGGUGAAAUGCGUAGAUAUUAGG